Molecule: ribosomal RNA, 550 nt
Filed under: Oxymeris felina
Lineage: Eukaryota; Metazoa; Mollusca; Gastropoda; Neogastropoda; Terebridae
Description: partial 12S ribosomal RNA
Rfam family: Bacterial small subunit ribosomal RNA (bases 206-550)
Source: RNAcentral
ACACCAAGAAGUUAAGUCAUAUAGAUUAUGGUGAAAAGAUAGUUAAGCGAAAAGUAGUAGGUCGUUUGAUGUAAUGCAUAGGGGUAAAAUCUAAGUGCAAUUGUAAAAUUUUAAGGCGGCUUAGGGGCUGAAUCUAUGAAAUCCUUGAGGGAAACUGGGAUUAGGUACCCCAUUAUUCUUGGGUGUAAAUAGAGAAUGUCUACCAGAGUACUAUGAAUAAUAUAAAAAUUUAAAACUCAAAGAACUUGGCGGUGUUUUAGACCACUCAGGGGAACCUGUCUCGUAAUCGACAAUCCACGUUGUACCUGACCUUUUUUUGUUUUCAGUUUGUAUACCGUUGUCGUCAGGUAACUUUUUAGAAAGUAGAAGUUGGCUAUAGAAACAUGGUGAUUUAAGACGUCAAAUCAAGGUGCAGCUAAUAAAAAGGGGAGGAUGGGUUACAGUUAUAUAGUUAUAAUUACGGAUAUCUAUGUGGAAGCAUAGGUUAUGAAGGAGGACUUGAAAGUAAAUUGAACUAUGAAAGCAGUUUGAAUAAGGCUCUGAAACGUGU